Pelobates cultripes (western spadefoot toad) is the source of this 242-nucleotide non-coding RNA. The record is from the annotation of a GenBank genome assembly. NCBI's taxonomy places the organism in Eukaryota, Metazoa, Chordata, Amphibia, Anura, Pelobatidae.
GAGAGUUGUGCACCAGCAUCUUGGCGAUAGCUUUUUUCUACAGAGGCUGCCACCGCCGCAUUUAUCAUUGACUGGAAGUCUGGAGAGGGUGGUUGAGGUGAGUCACUCAUUUUGGGAAGUUGAAUCUUCCCGUCUGUGGAAGACAGAACAGGUUCAGGUACAGAAGUACAGGUGCUGUUACACAGUGGACCACCAUGUACAACUGGGGGUCACUCAGUGUUGUCCAUCAAUCAGAACCACUU